RNAcentral lists this ribosomal RNA (247 nucleotides) under uncultured bacterium. RNAcentral's name for it is "partial 16S ribosomal RNA". It matches the Rfam family "Bacterial small subunit ribosomal RNA", at positions 523 to 769 of the family's 1533-position model. The record is from RNAcentral.
AUACGUAGGGAGCAAGCGUUGUCCGGAAUUACUGGGCGUAAAGGGUGCGUAGGCGGCCCAUUAAGUCAGAUGUGAAAUACCCGUGCUUAACAUGGGGGGUGCAUCUGAAACUGGUGGGCUUGAGUGCAGGAGAGGAAAGCGGAAUUCCUAGUGUAGCGGUGAAAUGCGUAGAUAUUGGGAGGAACACCAGUGGCGAAGGCGGCUUUCUGGACUGUAACUGACGCUGAGGCACGAAAGCGUGGGGAGC